Non-coding RNA from Podarcis lilfordi (Lilford's wall lizard), 81 nucleotides. Lineage: Eukaryota; Metazoa; Chordata; Lepidosauria; Squamata; Lacertidae. The record is from the annotation of a GenBank genome assembly.
GCAACUAUCAGCUCAGUUGGUUAGAGCGUGGUGCUGAUAAUGCCAAGGUUGCAGGUUUGAUCUCUGUAUGGGAAAGUUGCA